AAUAAGUGUUUAUGGCACUUUUAAAAGUUCCGUACCCACCUUGUGUGCAACGUUUGAAUCUGCUCUGUGCGUCUCCCUCUUUCGAGUGGGCCGUGGGGAUUAAGAUAUCUUUAAUCCAUUAAUAUGUUUUAAACCAGUUUUGUCAGAAGCAAUGUAUCAUUAAAUUGACCUAAUUCGAAAAUACAACUUUCAACAACAGAUCUCUUGGCUCU
This 212-nucleotide unclassified non-coding RNA is filed under the name rhizosphere metagenome. RNAcentral describes it as "partial ribosomal RNA internal transcribed spacer region". The record is from RNAcentral.